UGACCGCUGGCGGCGUGCCUCCUACAUGCAAGUCGAGCGACCAGACGAGGAGCUUGCUCCUCUGACGUUAGCGGCGGACGGGUGAGUAACACGUGGAUAACCUACCUAUAAGACUGGGAUAACUUCGGGAAACCGGAGCUAAUACCGGAUAAUAUAUUGAACCGCAUGGUUCAAUAGUGAAAGACGGUUUUGCUGUCACUUAUAGAUGGAUCCGCGCCGCAUUAGCUAGUUGGUAAGGUAACGGCUUACCAAGGCAACGAUGCGUAGCCGACCUGAGAGGGUGAUCGGCCACACUGGAACUGAGACACGGUCCAGACUCCUACGGGAGGCAGCAGUAGGGAAUCUUCCGCAAUGGGCGAAAGCCUGACGGAGCAACGCCGCGUGAGUGAUGAAGGUCUUCGGAUCGUAAAACUCUGUUAUUAGGGAAGAACAAAUGUGUAAGUAACUAUGCACGUCUUGACGGUACCUAAUCAGAAAGCCACGGCUAACUACGUG
This 495-nucleotide ribosomal RNA is filed under the name uncultured bacterium. Its description in RNAcentral is "partial 16S ribosomal RNA". It matches the Rfam family "Bacterial small subunit ribosomal RNA", at positions 30 to 507 of the family's 1533-position model. The record is from RNAcentral.